Molecule: transfer RNA, 70 nt
Filed under: Rasboroides vaterifloris (pearly rasbora)
Lineage: Eukaryota; Metazoa; Chordata; Actinopteri; Cypriniformes; Danionidae
Description: tRNA-Gly
Rfam family: tRNA
About the family: Transfer RNA (tRNA) molecules are approximately 80 nucleotides in length.
Source: RNAcentral
AUCUUUCUAGUAUAAAUUAGUACAAGUGACUUCCAAUCACUUAAUCUUGGUUAAACCCCUAGGAAAGAUA